CCUACGGGUGGCAGCAGUGGGGAAUAUUGGACAAUGGGGGCAACCCUGAUCCAGCCAUGCCGCGUGUGUGAAGAAGGCCCUCGGGUUGUAAAGCACUUUCAGUGAGGAAGAACGCCUGGUGGUUAAUACCCAUCAGGAAAGACAUCACUCACAGAAGAAGCACCGGCUAACUCCGUGCCAGCAGCCGCGGUAAUACGGAGGGUGCGAGCGUUAAUCGGAAUUACUGGGCGUAAAGCGCGUGUAGGUGGCUUGAUAAGCCGGUUGUGAAAGCCCCGGGCUCAACCUGGGAACGGCAUCCGGAACUGUCAAGCUAGAGUGCAGGAGAGGAAGGUAGAAUUCCCGGUGUAGCGGUGAAAUGCGUAGAGAUCGGGAGGAAUACCAGUGGCGAAGGCGGCCUUCUGGACUGACACUGACACUGAGGUGCGAAAGCGUGGGUAGCAAACAGGAUUAGAUACCCGAGUAGUC
This 465-nucleotide ribosomal RNA is filed under the name Vreelandella stevensii. Its description in RNAcentral is "partial 16S ribosomal RNA". It matches the Rfam family "Bacterial small subunit ribosomal RNA", at positions 338 to 795 of the family's 1533-position model. The record is from RNAcentral. Lineage: Bacteria; Pseudomonadati; Pseudomonadota; Gammaproteobacteria; Oceanospirillales; Halomonadaceae.